AUGUUUUAGCCUUUCUCUCAAUACUUCUUCCUAGGCAAGGAGAGGAACCUUAACACUCAAAUUCAGGACAUCUGAGCUUUUAAUUCAUUCACUUAUCUCUGUUUUAUUACAGUCGUCACUUUACGAUCACCAUGCCUUUCAAACAUAGUCUCUGUCUUGCCAUUUUACUGAUAGGCAUCAUCAAUGGGGACAGAGUAACACAGCCUGAACUGACUAAGCAUAUUUAUGGAGAAAAUAAUAUCCUGCUGCCAUGUAAUUUCACAACAAUCGACACAGAUCCUUAUGUUUACUGGUAUCGGCAGAAACCAAAUGGACCGAUUGAGUAUAUGGGACUUCGUAUGCAUAGAUAUCAAACUGAAGCGAAAGCUGAAAAUGGAAGAUUUACAGCCCAGUUUGACAAUGCUAACAGCUUUGUAGUUUUAAAUAUCUCUGCUACCCAGAUUUCUGAUUCAGCCGUUUAUUACUGUGCGCUAAGAGACACAGUAAAAUACUUUCCUGUUAGCACUUUACAAGAACUACAGCAGUGUGGUCCAGAAAAACUUGAUGUUACACUUUAGGAGACUACAUACAACUUGAUUAAUUCAGAAACUGUUAAUGUAUUCAUUUUAAUUUUAUUUGUACCACUGCAGUUUUUGGCAGAACAGUUUACUUUGGGAAAUGUUAAAGCAGAGCAUUACCAGAAUAUUUGUUAUGGAUCUGUAUGAAACUUCACCUCUCUGCAUACCAAUCAGUUGUACAGAUUUUCACAGAAUGUCCAGAUUUUUGUCUCAUAUUUCUGGCCUGUUUCUCAUAAAAUUGUGU
This is a non-coding RNA of Protopterus annectens (West African lungfish), 801 nucleotides long. The record is from the annotation of a RefSeq genome assembly. Lineage: Eukaryota; Metazoa; Chordata; Ceratodontiformes; Protopteridae.